This 3132-nucleotide long non-coding RNA is filed under the name Mus musculus (house mouse). RNAcentral describes it as "long non-coding RNA chr12:8499426-8502558". The record is from RNAcentral. Lineage: Eukaryota; Metazoa; Chordata; Mammalia; Rodentia; Muridae.
AAACGAUCGUAGUCCUCCUGGCCUGCCGUGUCCCACAGCGCCAGCUCCACCUGCUUGCCGUCCACCUCGAUGUCCGCCACAUAGUUCUCGAACACGGUGGGCACGUACACCUCGGGGAAUUCGUCUUUACUGAACACGAUCAGCAGGCACGUCUUGCCGCACGCGCCGUCGCCCACCACCACCAGCUUCUUGCGGAUGGCCGCCAUGAGCUCGCCGGGCGCGGGCAGCAGGAGGGGCCCGCGAGCGCCUCGCCGCCGUCCCGCUCCCUGUUGCUUGCCGCUCCCCGCUCUCCCGCGACUGCGCGCUGCGGGCUAGGCUCGCUAACUGCACCUGGACCCCGCGGCGGCGCGGUCUCUCGGGGCGCUCCGGUUGCCUCGGCAGGGGCGCAGGGGCAUACGGUGCACUGAGUGUCGCCGCGCCGCUGCCGCGCCGCUGUGGUCCUCGGCGGUCCCGGAGCUGCGCUGCUUUGUGCGAAGUGAUGGCUGAUGCUGCGGACCCGGCCUAGCUUCUUUCCCGGGGCGGGUUCACUCUAGACCUAGGGUACAGGGGCGCAGACGACGACAACCGAACUGCGGUGGCAGAUGCGGGCUGCGGCCCUAGCGCCCGCUAUUUAAAGAGUCCGGCCACUUUCUUAAUAUAGCCACCCAAUGGGAAGCCAUAGGGCUGAGCUCAUCGCUGCGGAGCUUGGCUCCGAUUGGUCGCCCGCUGCAGUCCGAAGGCGGGUUCGCCUUAGCUUGAUUGACUGCCCUGUCCGCGGGGCUGGGAGAGGCGUUGACUGUGGAGUCUGCGCGGCGACCCGCCCCGUGGGGUUGUGUGGCCGCCGGGUCCCCGCCUUCGUCGCAGCCUCUCUGAGUGCGACAUCGUGGAGCAGGCAGCCUGGAGCCCUCCGGGUCUGGGUGGGCAGUUCCGAGACGAGCUACACUCUUGUGGGGCGUUGGCUGCUCCCAGGGCUUCAGCUUUAUCUAGCUUCCGAGCGAACUACGGGUGAUCAAGCAUGGGGGAGGGGCGGCGCCUUUAACGUGGUUUUGUUUUCACUUAAACAGACACCGGUGCACGGUUUUGUUACCUAGCCAAGGGUUUCGUUCUUUCUUAACUUUGUUUAGAUAACUAACCCCUCGUGUGCUCUGGGCCGAAUUCUGACACUUACCCAGGGCAGCCUUUUCACUGAGAAAGGCUAACAGUAAAUUGUGUGGGCCUGGGUGAGUCCCCUCUCGGCUUUCUCUUCAAGGCCCACACUUAGGUCUCCGGGUGAAGAAGAUAAGGGGAGGAAUCUAGGAGACACACAGCUGUAGGACAAAGGAAAGCGAGGUGCAGGGCACUCCGCUGAAAAAGAAAGCACCCAGCUUGGGCAGGCAACCUUCACCCAGUCCUACCACAUUACAUCUGAUUCUCGCCCUAAAGCCAGAGAACUGCUUGAAGUACACUGUGCAAGGAAACCCAUCUAUCCCAACAACUCUCAUGGAGCAGAUGAAAAGCUUCAAGCUGGGAAAGCAGGCAUGCGGCCUCGCAGGGAACUUGCCGGUGGGCACACGGUUUCUGUACAGAGGAUGGAGUUUCUUCAUACACACCAGGUCUUAACUCGUGAAUUACCACUUCCUGCAGGAGAUGACACCUCUUCCUAUCUUAAAGGAUUUAAGCCAGUCCACUGUAAGAAAUAGGAAAGACAGAAAGCUGCAAAGGGCGUCAAAGAGGGCCUUACCCCGCCCCCAAGAGAAACUGAACAAAGAAAAAGGAGGAAAGAAAGUGGGGAAAUGGCUUAACAUUGCUGCGUGGGGUCCUCAUGGAGGGCUAGGCUAGGGGUACCAGCUAAGAGAAAGCUUUCUCAGUGACCAUGUCAUGAUGACCUUAUGACCCAUUUCUUUGUCUCUCUCUCUGGACUGUGAGUUGUCCGAGGGCCAGGAUUUCCUCCCACCUGAGCAUCAUGAAGACCUAGCACUAUGCUGGGCCCUAAAGAAGCAGUAAAAAUGGUCCGUGCAGUGGUAGGCCUGCCCACCUGUAGACCCAGCCACACAGGACGCACAGGGGUUGGCCUUCCAAGUCUAGGCAGUCUGGGCAACCAAAUGAGACAGAGAGAGAAAACAACGGGGAGGGGUAAAUGACUUUGGGAGCUAACCCAGUUUUUCAAAAGUGGAACUUUUUAGUUCUUAACAUCAGAUCCUGCUAUAAUCAGACCAAACACAAGCAGCCAAUGUUUUCACAUAUAAUCCCCAUGUUACAGUUUCUGUGUAUCUGGACAGAUAUGAUCAAGCCAUAGUGUUCCAUCAGUGGGGGAGAGCUGUGUUCCCUGCAUUCUGGAUUAUCCCCACUGCAGGGCCCAGUCUCUGUUUUUCUCUGCUUUAGUUUUUCAGACCUAAGGAACUGUCACAUGGUUUGGUUUGUCAUUGGUUGAGGAAGUCACUUUGCACACACACACACACACACACACACACACGCACACACACACCCCACACAUGCCUUUUAGGGGAAAAAUCUUAUCUACACAUAUUUUUCUCCUCGUAGUUAAACCUUUUGAUUGCUGUGUUAUUAGCUCUGCUCUCCGUGGUCUUAAUAUAGCUUGGGAAUCUUGGCUAUGUCCUUCAGCUUUAAAUAUUAAGAAAAUAUAAACCAGAGCUUUGUCCCGUGUGCUUCUUUCAAAGACUUAAAUACAAAGAACCAGGAAGCAGGAUUACGGCCACCGGCUUCCUGAUUUCCAGACGUAUCAUACGGGGUGUUCCAAGCUCAAAUCUCUAUAUCGAAGUAAUUGCUAAAAAUACAAAGUGGGCAAGUUAUGCCGAAGUAAAGAAGGAGAAGAAUCGAAACGGCGUUCUCUCAAAACAGGACUGGCGGCCUCAAAGACCUAGCUCACUGCUUAUAGCAUUAACUUUUCCAAACUUGCUGAUGAGUUUUAUAGUAUCCCCUUGUCAGGCCCCACACCCUUCAAAGUGCACUGUCACUGCAAGGCAAUGACUAGAUUUAAUUCUCCAAGAGUUAUUAACAUUCAGUGCAUGAAGCCGGGCGGUGGUGGCGCACGCCUUUAAUCCCAGCACUUGGGAGGCAGAGACAGGUGGAUUUCUGAGUUCAAAGCCAGCCUGGUCUACAGAGUGAGUUCCAGGACAGCCAAGACUAUACAGAGAAACCCUGUCUCGAAAAACC